This 76-nucleotide transfer RNA is filed under the name Ligaoa zhengdingensis. RNAcentral describes it as "Clostridiaceae bacterium NSJ-31 tRNA-Gln". It matches the Rfam family "tRNA". From Rfam's summary of the family: Transfer RNA (tRNA) molecules are approximately 80 nucleotides in length. Lineage: Bacteria; Bacillati; Bacillota; Clostridia; Eubacteriales; Oscillospiraceae. The record is from RNAcentral.
UGGGCUGUCGCCAAGCGGUAAGGCACGGGACUUUGACUCCCGCAUUCCGCAGGUUCGAAUCCUGCCAGCCCAACCA